CGGCUAAUGUUUUAAAUUUAAUUUUUGAAGUUUUUAAAAAAUUUCUGGACACUUUGUUUAAAAACUGGGUGAGAGUGUAUUUGUGCCUAUACAGUAUCAUCCACAUACAACCCCUUUGAUCAGUAAUUUAUUUCAAGUAUGAGGACCGGUGAAGAUUAGUUUAAUAACUUCUUCCUCUUAACAUUCAUAAUUUCAGGGGAAGGGUGGAUGGAAACACAGGGUUUCUGUACCUUUUAAGGGUUGUACAGUAUAAGAAGCAAUGAUUAUCAAGGGAUGGCUUUUCUCAAGCAAGGGCUGGUCAGCAUCCGAUUCAGGCUGCUGGUUUGGGUGUCAUGACGGAGACUAAAUCAGUUGUUUCGUAUAUUAUGAGGAUAUCUUUAAGUACAAGGUGGGGAUUCUUCAGGAGUUGGGGGGAGCACAUGGCCGACUCCCCAACUGAUGGGGUUUGUGCCUGUAAUUUGCAGAAGGGAAGCCAGAUAAAGCCAGCUGCAACAAGCACUUCUGCUUUAAAACUGGCCAUGUGGCUUGUUCUAAAACCAGCCAGUGCUUCCAGGAGGUUUCUCUCUACAACUAAGGUAAAGUUUGCCAGAAAUUUGGCAGAUGUUAGCAACAUGGAGAGACACGGCCUCUAAGAGCAAUGAUUUUGUUUAGUCAACCAGACAAGAACAUUCAGCAUUGGGUACAGGUUAAAAAAUGACUUGAUUCCUAAUAGCAGCUGUUGGUAUUUAUUAAAGUGGAAGCUUAUCUAUGUGGCUUGUUAUCCCACAGCCAAAUGGGUGCAGAAGAGAUCACAUGGUUUCUCCCAUUUAAUCUGGGGACCAUUCAGGGGCUUGUAAAAGGCUUCUGUUGCUUCUUUAUUCAGGUUUUCUGAAAGGAUCUUACAAUAGAAAAUGGAACCCUUGGCUGGUCCAGGCACUCCAGGAGCAGAGCCAUUCACAGAUGCACAAGUCUUCGUAGCCAACUACGCUUCUGAGCUUGGCUUGUCGCCAGCUGGCGGGUGCAGUCCAGCCUACUUCACGGACUCUGGAGAGCUACUGGGGGGUCUUGGUGGACUAGGUGAUGUUGUCUGUUGGAGUGACAAUGUGGAUCACUGCAUCUCUUACCUGAACAAGGAAUUGGUGAUGCUGGGGCUCCCUGCCUUAUAUAAGGACGAUGGUUCUGGAGAUGGUGCUGAGCAUGGAUUUGACCUACUGGCAUUGGUGAAUGGCACUAGUGAGCUGCUAAAUCUGUAUCAAGCAGCAAUGGCCAAGCUGGGCGACAUGGAGGCAGAGGAUGUGCGGCGGGCAGGAGAACUGGAUUACCUGAGAAUGCGACAUGGCAAACUCAAGGUGAGAGCUUCCCAAUUCUAUAUUGCUUGUACCACAUUGCAUCUUGUGCAGUUGUUAUAGUUUCACGAGAACUAACCCAAGACAUUCUGAUAUUUGAUUCUUAAAAAAAACAAACCCCUAAAACAAAACGCAGAUGGUAUCAUUAAAAGCACAGGCAACAAUCCAUUUGGAAAUACUUUCUCCAAACUCUCUUGAAAUGGAGUGGAGCACAUUGUGUGCCAUUGCUCACUGGGCAGGUUUAUCUGCUUUUGACCAUCUUACUUUUGGAGAGUAUCCAGCCCACCUUAGAACCUCUCUUCAUAGUAAGGCAGUCUGUGUUCAGCCUUCCAGAGACCUGGCCAUUGGGAACAACCAGCCAGGAAUUCUUCCUUAUAAACACAGCCCUGGCCAAUAGUCCUUUCCAUUUAUACCCCUUAGACUUCAAGGCAGCUACUGAACACACGCUGCACAUCAUAAACAGACA
RNAcentral lists this long non-coding RNA (1791 nucleotides) under Pogona vitticeps (central bearded dragon). RNAcentral's name for it is "lncRNA (ENSPVIG00000009113.1)". Lineage: Eukaryota; Metazoa; Chordata; Lepidosauria; Squamata; Agamidae. The record is from RNAcentral.